AAGGGGAGCACUGGCUCCUGGGCUGUGUCCCUGUUGCCUUGGGCUCUGGGGUCUCCACUGCUGGAAUCGCGUUCCUGGGCCACAUAGCCACCU
This 93-nucleotide microRNA precursor is filed under the name Canis lupus familiaris (dog). Its description in RNAcentral is "mir-8799 microRNA precursor family". It matches the Rfam family "mir-8799 microRNA precursor family". The record is from Rfam by way of RNAcentral. RNAcentral also lists the same sequence under 1 other name. Lineage: Eukaryota; Metazoa; Chordata; Mammalia; Carnivora; Canidae.